GCGUGCCUAAUACAUGCAAGUCCAGCGGACUGAUGGGAGCUUGCUCCCAUCAGUCAGCGGCGGACGGGUGAGUAACACGUGGGUAACCUGCCUGUAAGACUGGGAUAACUCCGGGAAACCGGGGCUAAUACCGGAUAACUCAUUUCCUCGCAUGAGGAAAUGUUGAAAGGUGGCUUUUAGCUAUCACUUACAGAUGGACCCGCGGCGCAUUAGCUAGUUGGUGAGGUAACGGCUCACCAAGGCGACGAUGCGUAGCCGACCUGAGAGGGUGAUCGGCCACACUGGGACUGAGACACGGCCCAGACUCCUACGGGAGGCAGCAGUAGGGAAUCUUCCGCAAUGGACGAAAGUCUGACGGAGCAACGCCGCGUGAGUGAUGAAGGUUUUCGGAUCGUAAAACUCUGUUGUUAGGGAAGAACAAGUACCGUUCGAAUAGGGCGGUACCUUGACGGUACCUAACCAGAAAGCCACGGCUAACUACGUGCCAGCAGCCGCGGUAAUACGUAGGUGGCAAGCGUUGUCCGGAAUUAUUGGGCGUAAAGCGCGCGCAGGUGGUUCCUUAAGUCUGAUGUGAAAGCCCACGGCUCAACCGUGGAGGGUCAUUGGAAACUGGGGGACUUGAGUGCAGAAGAGGAAAGUGGAAUUCCCAGUGUAGCGGUGAAAUGCGUAGAUAUUUGGAGGAACACCAGUGGCGAAGCGACUUUCUGGUCUGUAACUGACACUGAGGCGCGAAAGCGUGGGG
This 742-nucleotide ribosomal RNA is filed under the name Bacillus sp. SP56. RNAcentral's name for it is "bacterial SSU rRNA". It matches the Rfam family "Bacterial small subunit ribosomal RNA", at positions 42 to 766 of the family's 1533-position model. The record is from RNAcentral. Lineage: Bacteria; Bacillati; Bacillota; Bacilli; Caryophanales; Bacillaceae.